Molecule: ribosomal RNA, 253 nt
Filed under: uncultured bacterium
Lineage: Bacteria
Description: partial 16S ribosomal RNA
Rfam family: Bacterial small subunit ribosomal RNA
Source: RNAcentral
UACGUAGGGGGCAAGCGUUGUCCGGAUUUAUUGGGCGUAAAGAGCGUGUAGGCGGCCAGGUAGGUCCGUUGUGAAAACUCGAGGCUCAACCUCGAGACGUCGAUGGAAACCAUCUGGCUAGAGUCCGGAAGAGGAGAGUGGAAUUCCUGGUGUAGCGGUGAAAUGCGCAGAUAUCAGGAAGAACACCCGUGGCUAAGGCGGCUCUCUGGAACGCAACUGACGCUGAGACGCGAAAGCGUGGGGAGCAAACAGG